AAUUUUACUUAACAUUAUUUUAUUUAUCCGUCAUAUUGAAGAUAACUUUUUGAAGGAUAUUGUUGUUUUUGUUAUUUUAUGU
This is a long non-coding RNA of Sinocyclocheilus anshuiensis, 82 nucleotides long. RefSeq lists it as uncharacterized. The record is from RefSeq and is a predicted model, not a curated record. Lineage: Eukaryota; Metazoa; Chordata; Actinopteri; Cypriniformes; Cyprinidae. The transcript has 3 exons.